AGAGUUUGAUCAUGGCUCAGAUUGAACGCUGGCGGCAGGCCUAACACAUGCAAGUCGAACGGUAACAGGAAGCAGCUUGCUGCUUCGCUGACGAGUGGCGGACGGGUGAGUAAUGUCUGGGAAACUGCCUGAUGGAGGGGGAUAACUACUGGAAACGGUGGCUAAUACCGCAUAACGUCGCAAGACCAAAGAGGGGGACCUUCGGGCCUCUUGCCAUCAGAUGUGCCCAGAUGGGAUUAGCUUGUUGGUGAGGUAACGGCUCACCAAGGCGACGAUCCCUAGCUGGUCUGAGAGGAUGACCAGCCACACUGGAACUGAGACACGGUCCAGACUCCUACGGGAGGCAGCAGUGGGGAAUAUUGCACAAUGGGCGCAAGCCUGAUGCAGCCAUGCCGCGUGUAUGAAGAAGGCCUUCGGGUUGUAAAGUACUUUCAGCGGGGAGGAAGGUGUUGCGGUUAAUAACCGCAGCAAUUGACGUUACCCGCAGAAGAAGCACCGGCUAACUCCGUGCCAGCAGCCGCGGUAAUACGGAGGGUGCAAGCGUUAAUCGGAAUUACUGGGCGUAAAGCGCACGCAGGCGGUCUGUCAAGUCGGAUGUGAAAUCCCCGGGCUCAACCUGGGAACUGCAUUCGAAACUGGCAGGCUUGAGUCUUGUAGAGGGGGGUAGAAUUCCAGGUGUAGCGGUGAAAUGCUUCAGAUCUGGCGGAAUACCGGUGGCGAAGGCGGCCCCCUGGACAAAGACUGACGCGCAGGUGCGAAAGCGGGGGAGGCAAGCAUGAUUAGAUACCCUGAUAGUCCGCUCCGGAAACGAUGUCUACUUGGAGGUUGUGCCCUUGAGGCGUGGCUUCCGGAGCUAACGCGUUAAGUAGACCGCCAGGGGGGUACGGCCGCAAGGUUAAAAC
RNAcentral lists this ribosomal RNA (902 nucleotides) under Salmonella enterica subsp. enterica serovar Typhimurium. RNAcentral describes it as "bacterial SSU rRNA". It matches the Rfam family "Bacterial small subunit ribosomal RNA", at positions 8 to 900 of the family's 1533-position model. The record is from RNAcentral. Lineage: Bacteria; Pseudomonadati; Pseudomonadota; Gammaproteobacteria; Enterobacterales; Enterobacteriaceae.